GAUGAACGCUGGCGGCGUGCCUAAUACAUGCAAGUCGAGCGAACAGAUGAGGAGCUUGCUCCUCUGACGUUAGCGGCGGACGGGUGAGUAACACGUGGAUAACCUACCUAUAAGACUGGGAUAACUUCGGGAAACCGGAGCUAAUACCGGAUAAUAUAUUGAACCGCAUGGUUCAAUAGUGAAAGACGGUUUUGCUGUCACUUAUAGAUGGAUCCGCGCCGCAUUAGCUAGUUGGUAAGGUAACGGCUUACCAAGGCAACGAUGCGUAGCCGACCUGAGAGGGUGAUCGGCCACACGAGAACUGAGACACGGUCCAGACGCCUACGGGAGGGAGCAGUAGGGAAUCUGCCGCAAUGGGCGAAAGCCUGACGGAGCAACGCCGCGUGAGUGAUGAAGGUCUUCGGAUCGUAAAACUCUGUUAUUAGGGAAGAACAAAUGUGUAAGUAACUAUGCACGUCUUGACGGUACCUAAUCAGAAAGCCACGGCUAACUACGUG
RNAcentral lists this ribosomal RNA (497 nucleotides) under uncultured bacterium. RNAcentral describes it as "partial 16S ribosomal RNA". It matches the Rfam family "Bacterial small subunit ribosomal RNA", at positions 28 to 507 of the family's 1533-position model. The record is from RNAcentral.